GAUGAACGCUGGCGGCGUGCCUAAUACAUGCAAGUCGAGCGAACGGACGAGAAGCUUGCUUCUCUGAUGUUAGCGGCGGACGGGUGAGUAACACGUGGAUAACCUACCUAUAAGACUGGGAUAACUUCGGGAAACCGUAGCUAAUACCGGAUAAUAUUUUGAACCGCAUGGUUCAAAAGUGAAAGACGGUCUUGCUAUCACUUAUAGAUGGAUCCGCGCUGCAUUAGCUAGUUGGUAAGGUAACGGCUUACCAAGGCAACGAUGCAUAGCCGACCUGAGAGGGUGAUCGGCCACACUGGAACUGAGACACGGUCCAGACUCCUACGGGAGGCAGCAGUAGGGAAUCUUCCGCAAUGGGCGAAAGCCUGACGGAGCAACGCCGCGUGAGUGAUGAAGGUCUUCGGAUCGUAAAACUCUGUUAUUAGGGAAGAACAUAUGUGUAAGUAACUGUGCACAUCUUGACGGUACCUAAUCAGAAAGCCACGGCUAACUACGUG
Molecule: ribosomal RNA, 497 nt
Filed under: uncultured bacterium
Lineage: Bacteria
Description: partial 16S ribosomal RNA
Rfam family: Bacterial small subunit ribosomal RNA
Source: RNAcentral